CCUACGGGUGGCUGCAGUAGGGAAUAUUGGUCAAUGGGGGGAACCCUGAACCAGCCAUGCCGCGUGCGGGACGAAGGCGCCAUGCGUCGUAAACCGCUUUUGCACUGGGAGAAAAGGCCCCUGCGGGGGAGAUUGACGGUACAGUGCGAAUAAGCAUCGGCUAACUCCGUGCCAGCAGCCGCGGUAAUACGGAGGAUGCGAGCGUUGUCCGGAUUUACUGGGCUUAAAGGGCGCGUAGGCGGCCCUUCAAGUCCGCGGUCAAAUCACCGGGCUCA
Molecule: ribosomal RNA, 275 nt
Filed under: uncultured bacterium
Lineage: Bacteria
Description: partial 16S ribosomal RNA
Rfam family: Bacterial small subunit ribosomal RNA
Source: RNAcentral